GUGCCAGCAGCCGCGGUAAUACCGGCAGCUCAAGUGAUGUCCCAUAUUAUUGGGCCUAAAGCGUCCGUAGCUGGCCGACCAAGUCUCCCGGGAAAUCCACCCGCCCAACGGGUGGGCGUCCGGUAGAAACUGGCCGGCUUGGAACCGGAAGGCUCAGAGAGUACGUCCGGGGUAGGAGUGAAAUCCCAUAAUCCCGCACGGUCCACCGAUGGCGAAAGCACUUCGAGAAAACGGAUCCGACAGUGAGGGACGAAAGCCAGGGUCUCCAACCGGAUUAGAAACCCUUGUAGUCC
Molecule: ribosomal RNA, 293 nt
Filed under: uncultured bacterium
Lineage: Bacteria
Description: partial 16S ribosomal RNA
Rfam family: Archaeal small subunit ribosomal RNA
Source: RNAcentral